RNAcentral lists this long non-coding RNA (2885 nucleotides) under Xyrichtys novacula (pearly razorfish). The record is from RNAcentral. Lineage: Eukaryota; Metazoa; Chordata; Actinopteri; Labriformes; Labridae.
GCUUUAUUGCACAAGGUGUUAGAAUGAUCUUUUUAGUUUUUGCUUUCUUUUCAUAGAAAAUGUACUUUUGAACACAAGCAAUUGCUAUAACAAGCAACUCAAACAAAUGUUUGGGAUACCCUCAACAUUUUUUUAUGUUUUUGAUUUUCAUACAUUUUUUCCUUCAAUUUUUCCCUUUUAGCAAGCAUGCAAUGACUUUUUGAGGAUGAACAAAAUACAAAAUAAUGAUAAAAAAGUAAAUAGGACAAAUGACGACAUCAAAAGACCUUUAAAAAAGAAUAAAAAUUCAACAAAUCAGUAUCAAAAACAUAAAGGGAAAGUAAAAUGUUUUUGCCCAUUUCAGGAGUAAAAUAUUUUAUCAUUGAUACUAUUUCAAAUUUGAAAUUGGGGCAUUCAACCCUGAUGUGUCCCCUGAUUUAUUCUGACGAAAAUAGCUCUUCAUACAAAACUGUGUUUAUGUACAAGACUUAAUCUAUAAACAACACUGACAAAGGUAGAGAGCAUGGGUCUAGUAUGUUUAGGGUGGUGAAUUUUAACUUUAAUUAAUCUGAGAGGGGGGGAAAAGGCAGAAGUCUGAAUGCUUCAGGUUUACAGACCCACUCCAGUCCAGUAUUUACACAACAGUAGUUUGUGUGACCAAAAGAGCUACGCGUCCCUGAUUAAAGUUGGCUGAACUGGUUUAGCCACAGACCAAAUACUCUAGUACUGUUUGGCCCCUGGAACCAAAAUUUAGACAGAAAUCCAAUCAAAUAAAAAAAAUGAAGAUUGAAAAUCGAAAUCAACGGACCAACAGAAACACCCUCCUUUGCACAAAUAAAUGAACGAACAAAGCAAACGGAAAAGUAAAUAUAAACCACAAAACACUUUCAUGGAGAUGCUUCAGAAAGACAUUCCAAUAGGUUAUCGUGUGAAUGUACAUUAGUGAAAAAUGGAGGGAUGGAGAUAAAGGGGGUGGGACAUAUACAGUACUUCAGACAGGGCAACAACAAAGAUAUCAAUUGAGUGAACAUUAUAUCAUUUUCAAAACUGAACUCCCUGACAUAUAACACCGCUCAACAUUAUAUUAUUUAACUUCAUUCACAUCAUGACCGGGAUUCCUUCAGCUAGUUUUCCAUUUCCUUGAAGAGUGAAGAUCUGAGUAGCUCGAUGGCUGGCUGAGAGGUCAGUUGGAUGUUUGACUUUGAUGUUUUUUAGAAGCCUCCAUUUUGAAACACAACCCAUGUCUGUACAUAUAUGCUACAUAGAACUUCUCAGUGGAUUCUCUGGGAUAGUGGCUUGGUUUUUAAAUGUUAGUGUUACUAAUAACCACUCAGGCUCAGUCAAAGAGACUCAUGAGCAAGCUUUGUUUACCACAUGGAAGGCUCUCUGCUAUCACCUUGUCCUGGCGGUCAUUUUCUUCGGACGACACACUCUGGGUGGGAAACCCAUACAUUAAUGUAGUGUUUUACUGCUGUAUUGGAGGUUAACACAUCGUAGAAACACAGGGAAUCCAAUCUGGGCUGAGAAAUUUGCUGCUUCACAAAUAAGCAACAAAAUAUAGCGCAACAAUUAGUGAAACUCCAGGGGAAUGUGGGCGGUGUAUCAGCAUCACACUUUUUGAUACCAACAGCUUCAGUCACAAUAGCAAACAUUUGUUAGCUAACAUUACCACCCUCUAGCUAUGUUAUUGAACACUAACAUUAGCUUUCAGUGACAACACAAAACACAGUGGUGUGAAAGCAAAUCAACUUUUAAGCUUCCCAAUUUAGCAUGACGUCAACUGAAAAUGGCCGCCGUAUGAAUGUGGUGGAUGAUUUUUUCCACCUGACACACUGAGCAAAGAGGCUUUCCUGCUUUUUCAGGUAUUAAAACUUGCCAGCCUUGCUAGCUUUCUUUCCUGUCUCAGCAUGGAGCUGUAAAAAGGAAACACUCUUCUCUUCAUCUGUCUACAAACAGAAACAUACAGAACAUCCCGUAGAUAUACUAAAGUUUUUCUUUCUUAAGUCCAACCUUUUUUAAAAUUGAUCUUUUAUUAAAUUUCAUGAUUGAGCGAUUGUCUCAUUUUUAAAUUUGACAUUAACAUUAAAUUCCUGUAUAUACUACUACACUAUUGUAGUACAUACCAUUUAUACUUUGUCAUAAUUUCACUUAAAUGUCAAUAAUAUACCUACAUAGAAAUAUAUAUGUAAAUUCUUUAUAAUACCAAAUAUUCUCUAUUUGUAAUGUGAGAAAUUAUAGCUGGUUUAUUUGGGUUGUCAUGAUUGUUUUAAAGUCAAACACUGUUCAGCUGGAGAAAGAGAGAGAGAGAGAGAGAGAGAGAGAGAGAGAGAGAAGAAGGAGAGAGAGAGAGAGAUGUGGAGAAUGCUACUGUGAUAGAAAUUCUUUUAAUCAUACUUGGACAUGAGUUAACCUGAAUAAUUUCAUUUGGAAUCACCGUUUAGAAUAAAUUCUGCCAAUAGCUACAGUUUUUGGGACCUUAAGGGACACAAAGAGGGUAAAAGAUACAGUGAGAACAGGGGAACUUAACUGGAAGUCCUGCAAAUUGACAAUAAUACUCAAACUAUGGAGGACAGUAUGCGUGUGCGUAUGAGAGACAGAAUGGCCACACAGCUUCAUACUGGCUAUUGUAGUCUUCAUCAUCAUAAACACAGAGCUUUUAGCUCCUCAAUUAAAGUCAAUAUUUCAGAAUGACCACAGAAUCACUUCCUGGUUGUUUGCUGUGCAACUCCCGCGAGCACUGAGCGGAACUGAGCACCAGCCGGCUGGAACUGUUAGUUGGAGUUAGUAAAUCUUUUAGAGUCCCAGGUAAACAUGUAAAGUAAGGGUAGCUGGGUCUCUGUCCGGGAAAACACCUAUCCCAAGGAAAAUUAGACAGAACGCAGUUCACCAUUAGUUGGGUUUAAAGA